This 1799-nucleotide long non-coding RNA is filed under the name Gallus gallus (chicken). RNAcentral describes it as "lncRNA (ENSGALG00010004073.1)". Lineage: Eukaryota; Metazoa; Chordata; Aves; Galliformes; Phasianidae. The record is from RNAcentral.
GGUUGUAGGGUUGGGUGGUUGUAGGGUGGGGUAGUUGUAGGGUUGUAGGAGGGGUUGGUUGUGGGGUUGGAGGGUUGUAGGGUGGGGUGGUUGUAGGGUUGGGGGGUGGAGGGGAGGAUGGCUGUAGGGUUGUAGGGUUGGGUGGUUGUAGGGUAUGAAGGUUGUGGGGUUAUAGGGUUGUAGGGUUGUAGGAGUGGUCGGUUGUGGGGUUGGAGGGUUGUAGGGUGGGGUGGUUGGAGGGUUGUAGGGUUGUGGGGUUAUAGGGUUAUAGGGUUGGGUGGAUGGGAAAAAAAGGGGAGAAAAUGGGAACAUUUGGGGAAAGAAGUGGGAAAAUUUGGGGGAAAAAUGGGGGAAAAUGAGAGAAUUUGGGGGAAAAUUGAGAAAAUUUGGGGAAAAUUUGGGAAAAUGGGGAAAAAGUGGUAAAAUUAUGCGUAAAAUUUAGGAAAAUUUGGGGUAAAAACGGGGGAAAAUGGGAACAUUUUGGGAAAGAAAUGGGAAAAAUUGGGGGAAAAAUGGGGGAAAAUGAGAGAAUUCGGGGGAAAUCUGAGAAAAAUUGGGGAAAAAAAUGGGAAAAUGGGGAAAAAGUGGUAAAAUUAUGCGUAAAAUUUAGGAAAAUUUGGGGUAAAAACGGGGGAAAAUGGGAACAUUUGGGGAAAAUUGGGAAAAUUUGGGGGAAAAUGGGGGAAAAUGAGAAAAUUUGGGGGAAAUUUGAGAAAAUUUGGGGGAAAAAUGGGAAAAUGGAGAAAAAUUGGUAAAAUUAUGCGUAAAAUUUUGGAAAAUUUGGGGGAAAAUGGGGGAAAAUGGGAACAUUUUGGGAAAGAAAUGGGAAAAUUUGGGGGAAAAUGGGAACAUUUUGGGGAAAGAAGUGGGAAAAUUUGGGGGAAAAAUGGGGGAAAAUGAGAGAAUUUGGGGGAAAUUUGAGAAAAUUUGGGGGAAAUUUGGGAAAAUUCGGGGAAAAUUUGGGAAAAUGGGGAAAAAGUGGUAAAAUUAUGCGUAAAAUUUAGGAAAAUUUGGGGUAAAAAUGGGGAAAAUUUGGAACAUUUUGGGCAAAAUGGAGAAAAAAUGGGGAAUAACUGCAAAAUUUGGGGCAAUUUGGGGGGAUUUUGGGGUCCGGGGGGGCAUUUUCUGAUGCUGUCUUUCCGUCUGUCCCCUCCCCCCCCCCCCCCCACUUCCGGUGCCAGGGGCGGAAGUGGAGGGGGCGCUGUGCACGGAUGAGGAAGAGGAGGAGGGGCUGUGGGGAACCAUCGCCAUCUUUGUGGCUCUGUUCCUCCUCAGCGUCUGCUACAGCGCCACCGUCACCUUCUUCAAGGUGAAGUGGCUCUUCUCCACCGUGAGACAUCCAGUCUCACACUGGGUUGACCCCAUGGCAGCCAUCUUGACUAAGGGUGGCAGCCAUCUUGUCCCACUGCAUUGACCCCCACCCGUUGGCGGCCAUCUUGGCUAAGGCCAGCAAACAUCAGCCAUCUUGGCUGAGGGCGGCAGCCAUCUUAUCUCAAUGCGUCGUCCCCCCUGGCGGCCAUAUUGACUAAGGGUAGCAGCCAUCUUGUCUGAGUGCGUUGACCCCCACCCCUUGGUAGCCAUCUUGGCUGAGGGCAGUGACCAUCGGCCAUCUUGGCUGAGGACGGCAGCCAUCUUAUCUCAAUACGUCGACCCCCCCCCCCCCACCUCCCCGGCCUCGGCGGCCAUCUUGGCUGAGGCCGGCGGCCAUCUUGCCCCAAUGCGUCGACCCCCCCCCCCCCUCCCCGGCCUCGGCGGCCAUCUUGGCUGAGGCCGGCGGCCAUCUUGUCCCCUCCCCACAG